UGUAAUUUGAGAUUAUUCAUGCAUACUUGAAAUAAAGGGGUAUAGAUAAGCUAGUUUGUAGAGUGCUUCUAAAUUGUUGUUUCAAUAGUUCACUUUAUCUUAUGGUUUUAUUGAAGUACAUGCUAAACUUAAUGAAAGUUAUGAUCCUCAAAACAUGGUUUAAUUCUAUUUAUUUAUUUUAAAAUGUGGAUGGGAAAUGUUUGGCUAGAAGAUUAUGUCAUUACAAACAUUCAAAGCCUCCUUUUGCUUCUCUGUCUGGUUCAAUGAAUUUGAAUGUAUCCAAUUAUGAGGGUCUUGGGUUGGACUUGUGCGCAUUAACUUUGAAAGCUCAUGAUGUCAAACAAUUGUAAAUCUUGGAGCAUUUCUCUCCCGUGCAGAGUUCUUCAGAUUGGACCUAUGUACCGUCAUUGAAGAUAAUCCACCAGCAUAGACUUUAAACUUGAUUGCAAUCAUUUUCACAUUCUUAUGAUCAGUUUUCCUUAAUUAACUAUUAAUCUUCUCUUUGUUACUAAUCUGGUUCAUGAAUUCCACAGAUUCUUGGAGUGUCGAUCAUGAUUUCUUAACAUCAUGCUCUUUCAAUGAAUCAUAAGGCUGACUCCAUUCGUCACGAAAAAUGGUCAUGUUCAUCCUUCUAGAACAUCGCCAUAUGAUCAUGUUUCAUAAGUUCUUCGUGUGCCUAUUGUCAUUUGGACUACUUGAAAGUUGAAACCCCUUCUUAAACUACAGAUCUCUUCAUCUGGGUAGCUAUGAUGGUCAUAUAACUGACACAGACACAGAUAUGUGAACAAGAAUGUGGUUCUCCAUUCCUCUUGAUAUCUGUUGAAGUCCCUUGAUAUACAUUGAUACGCCAUCUUCUAACGGCCAAGGUUUCAGAGCAACUAGUUGUUUGACAUGGUAAUAGAGCGAGAGGUCUUGUGUUCGAAUCCCAGGAGUAGCAAAUAUGGCUCAGUUAAUAUAUUCCCCAAUGGGGGGUGUUUAUGGUGUGAAUUGUGAUUGUCCCUCCACCCUUGCCCAGUAUGUUCCCGUGCGGAUUUCCACCCCGCACGUGUGGGGGAGUGUUGAAGUCCUUUGAUAUACGUUGAUACACCAUCCUCUAACAGCUUGAGCUUUUAGAGCAACUGGUUGUUUGACAAUACCCCUAAGGUGCAUCUAUUGCCAUUUGGACUACUUGAAACCCCUUCUUAAACUAUAGAUCUCUUCACCUUGGUGGCUAUGACAGUCAGAUAAAAAUACUGACAUGGGUACAAAUAUGGGAACAAGAAUGCAGUUCUCCAUUUCCCAAUAGUUUAGGAUACACACAUGGAUAUGUACAUGCUCUCCCAAUUUUGCAUGCCAUUUAGUUUUCAUUAAACAAGAUUUUGUUCUUAAUUUUUUUCGGAAGUUACAAGUCUAAUGAUAUUGAUAGUAUUUGUAAUUUUUACAGUAUAAUCACACAUUGUUAUGGCUAGAAUGAUUAGUCAUAUACAUACAAACAUACGUACAUAAUACACUCGAAUCUAUCAUAAGCUAUGGUAGAGUUGACCAUUGUAGGUUCCACUGUGCUGUGUUUUAGAGAUCCAAGCUGCUAAUCAGGUGCGUCGCGCCAUGUUAGACCUAGGCCCAAUCCAUAACUAAGGUGAGCCCCACCAUGGAAAACAAUGCGGAGGGGACGCCCACUAUUGGUUACCUUUGAGGCCCAAUAUGAUGUUUAUAUACCAUCCUACCCCUUCAUUUUGUCUCCUACAUGGAUGGGGGAAACCAAAAAUCAUGCCAUUCUCAGAAUUCAGUGGGCCCCACUAGGUGAUUGGUGUUUUUACACUUUUGUGUGGCCCACUUGAGACCAGAAUAUGGCUGAUUUUUGAGGUGUUUCAUUUUCUAGAGGGGGUGCCUCUGAUGCAUGACUUAUGUCUGACACGCAUCAUGGUGGUCCCACAUGCAGUACACUGCAAUGUAUAAUUCACCUUGUCUUGAUUCUCCUGCUCGUGCACGCACACAUAGGGUAGAUACCAUGUAGUCAACACUAUGAGAGGUUUCCACUGUGUGUAGGGUAAUGACCCCAUGUUGACAAUAGAGAGGUUCUUACAAUGUCGAGUAGUGUAGCCAGUGAGAUGUGUUUCGGACUUAACCUGCCCAUCCAUUGUGCCUAUUGAUGUUUUAUGCUCAGGGUCCCCAAAUCAGCCCAAUCCAUAAUUUAGAUGGGCCACACCAUAGAGGACAGUGGGGAGGGGAAAUGUAGGUGUCCAUUUAGGGUCCAACAUGAUGUUUCUAUGCUUAUCUUACUGGUUCAUUCUAUGUGCCCCACCCGGCUGAAGGGACACCAAAAAUCAAGUUGUUCCAAAACCCAAGUGGUCCCCACCACACCAACCACUUGAUUUUAGAGGUUUUAGGUAUGAAUUGGCAAUGUUCCUGUGGUGUGGCCCACCUUUGGAUUCGACUAAGGUAUACCGUAACGGCCGUUACGACCUAGUGACGAUCAAAAACUUUUUUUUUUUUAUUUGCCAAAAAAUUGACCAAGGUAUACCGUAGCAGUUCUUACGACCUAGUAAGGAUUUAAAAAAAUUUGCCAAAAAAAUUGAUAAAAUAGAAGAAAAAUUCGAAAUAUUUAGAGGAUUUCAAAUAUGCACUUAAAACAUGUUUAUGAUGGCAUAACAGUCCAUUCCUUAGUAAGAAUGUUGUCUCGGCUUCUUUGAUGAUGUUAUGAACCUGACAAGUUUAGAUUGACUGGAAAAAUCCUAUGUUUAAUUUCCUAAAUAUAUGAUAUCAAUGAUAAGAAUAUAUUUAACAUAAAUGUAAUACUAAUAAUGAGAUAAUUAUUUAUAUUUAUAUAACCAUGUACUGUCUCAAAAGUAAAAAAGCUCAAAACAUAAGUGACGAGUCAUAAAAUAAUGUCACUCAACGCCCAAUGGACAAAUAUUUGCAUCACCAGCCAAUCACCACUUGAGUGAAAAUUUUGUUGUUUAUGAUUGGUUGACCUCCAUGUCCUCAUCAUCAACAAAAGUUGGAGGGAAAACCCAUGUUAAUGAAACUUGAGGACGAUUGAUCACCUUGUUGGGGAUUUGUUGUGUCAGCCCCGAAUAAGAAUAUCUACCACUGUCAGACGAAGACCCAUAACCAUAGUCAUAACCACUAGACCCGCCACCACAGUUGUGCCUGUACCUGCAUUGCGGCUACCCUUAGCAUUGCUGCUUGUAGUGCUGGGAAUGAGAGUGGGGUGACAAAUAACUCGAAUUUGGACCCCGCAUAUGGGUAUCCUCAAUAUCGACUAGCUUCAUAUGGAUCAUAUUGACGACCAGGACUAGCUUGACAUGAAUGUGGCUCAACAUGCUCCAUAUACUAUCUAUGGUCAUAUCCAUAUCCAUAAGUGAUUUGAUGUCCGGGAAUUCCAUCUCUUCCAGUAUCACUAGUGCCAGCCUCCUGAUGAUGCUCCCUCUCGUCUAGAUGUAUUGUGGCUCAGUACAUUUAUAAGUUCGGUCUCCUAUAUCCCGUCGAUCCUCAUUGGCCUCGCAAUCUAUAGCAGGUUGUACCCCUUGUUCUAAGUAACACUAGAAGUAGGUGCAUCAUCAUCAUCACCAUUUUUUUCAACUACAUCGUUAUUGUUACCGCCAUGAUCAUCAGUCUCGAUUUCGCUGUCACUAGUAUUCUUUUGUUGGGUUAAAUCAACCCUUUAGGUCUACAUGACUUUGUUCCUACCUUGUGCAUAUCAGUGGGUCGUGCACCUUGACUUAUUGACUAUCAUCUUCUACAUAUUUCUGUCUUUGUUCCAACCAAGGUAGAAGUGGGCUAUCCUCAUCAUAAAUGUGGUCUGUCCUAGUUUAUUGGACAAAAGUUGCCCUCGUUGAUCAGAAAAAACUGCUUAUUUUGGGGAUUUUUCUUGACAGCCACUAUUCAUCCAAAAAUUGUCUGAAAAUGAGAA
Long non-coding RNA from Magnolia sinica, 3892 nucleotides. RefSeq lists it as uncharacterized. The record is from RefSeq and is a predicted model, not a curated record. The transcript has 2 exons. Lineage: Eukaryota; Viridiplantae; Streptophyta; Magnoliopsida; Magnoliales; Magnoliaceae.